GACACGAUGGCCGAGUUGGUUAAGGCGUCAGACUAGAAAUCUGAUGGGAUUUUCCCGCGUAGGUUCAAAUCCUGCUUGUGUCG
This 83-nucleotide transfer RNA is filed under the name Methanosarcinales archaeon. It matches the Rfam family "tRNA". Rfam says of the family: Transfer RNA (tRNA) molecules are approximately 80 nucleotides in length. Their secondary structure includes four short double-helical elements and three loops (D, anti-codon, and T loops). Lineage: Archaea; Methanobacteriati; Methanobacteriota; Methanomicrobia; Methanosarcinales. The record is from Rfam by way of RNAcentral.